GGACCCGCACAAGCGGUGGAGCAUGUGGUUUAAUUCGAUGCAACGCGAAGAACCUUACCAACUCUUGACAUCCUCAUUGGGGAGGUCAGAGAUGACCUCUUUCAGUUCGGCUGGAUGAGUGACAGAUGCUGCAUGGCUGUCGUCAGCUCGUGUCGUGAGAUGUUGGGUUAAGUCCCGCAACGAGCGCAACCCUUGCCAUCAGUUGCCAGCAGGUUAAGCUGGGCACUCUGAUGGGACUGCCGGUGACAAGCCGGAGGAAGGUAGGGAUGACGUCAAGUCAUCACGGCUCUUACGAGUUGGGCUACACACGUGCUACAAUGGCGCCUACAGAGGGCAGCGAGAUAGUGAUAUCGAGCGAAUCUUAAAAAGGCGUCUCAGUUCAGAUUGUUCUCUGCAACUCGAGAACAUGAAGUUGGAAUCGCUAGUAAUCGCGGAUCAGCGUGCCG
This 446-nucleotide ribosomal RNA is filed under the name uncultured Pseudomonadota bacterium. RNAcentral describes it as "bacterial SSU rRNA". It matches the Rfam family "Bacterial small subunit ribosomal RNA", at positions 917 to 1359 of the family's 1533-position model. Lineage: Bacteria; Pseudomonadati; Pseudomonadota. The record is from RNAcentral.